UGGGGAAUAUUGCACAAUGGGCGCAAGCCUGAUGCAGCAACGCCGCGUGCGGGAUGACGGCCUUCGGGUUGUAAACCGCUUUCAGCAGGGACGAAGCUUUUUGUGACGGUACCUGCAGAAGAAGCACCGGCUAACUACGUGCCAGCAGCCGCGGUGAUACGUAGGGUGCGAGCGUUGUCCGGAUUUAUUGGGCGUAAAGGGCUCGUAGGCGGUUGAUCGCGUCGGAAGUGGAAACUUGAUGCUUAACGUUGAGCGUGCUUUCGAUACGGGUUGACUUGAGGAAGGUAGGGGAGAAUGGAAUUCCUGGUGGAGCGGUGGAAUGCGCAGAUAUCAGGAGGAACACCAGUGGCGAAGGCGGUUCUCUGGACCUUUCCUGACGCUGAGGAGCGAAAGCGUGGGG
This 400-nucleotide ribosomal RNA is filed under the name uncultured bacterium. Its description in RNAcentral is "bacterial SSU rRNA". It matches the Rfam family "Bacterial small subunit ribosomal RNA", at positions 355 to 766 of the family's 1533-position model. The record is from RNAcentral.